CUUCCUUCCAAAUACGAAUUGCGCAAAUCCCUAACUUUCCUUCGCAAAGCAGGUAUCAGAUUUAGGCAAAUACGAAAUCGUCCCAUACCCAAGCCCUAGAUUCGCGAUUCGCUGAGAACGAACAAAAGCCGAACUUCUCUCCAAAUCAGGUACGUGUAACUUAGUUUCAUAUAACUCGAAUUCGUGCUAAAAUCUCCCUGUUACAGCCCUUGACUGUCAAAUUCAAAUCCAUUCAAUUUUAGUAUAAUAGUUCGGAUGUGGCAGAGUUGGUGUGACACACGAUAAAAGAAAUUGUCCGUGCUUAAUAAUCAGUGAGCAAGUUUACGUAUUUUGACUUUGUCAGCAUGUUUAAAUUUGACUUUUGACUUUGUAAUUUGUUUAAAUGUAGAGCUCGAGUAUUUUUUUUUUAUUUUUUUUUUAAGUAUAUAUACGUAUAUAUGCUGGAGUAUAUGACGAUGAUAAUGAUUCACCCCCAGGUGCAACUGAGAUUAUGAGGUACUAAAGUAUUUUCCUAUGUUCAAGUCAUUCUAAACUAUUAGAGGUACUAAAGUAUUUUCCCAUGUAUUCAGUUUUCUAACUUUUUGUCGUACAGUAACAGGGACGCUGAACCUGGUCUUGAAUAGCCUGAUGGAGUUUAUUAGAGGUAAGAAACAAGCUUUUAAGGAUUUCACUGCAGGAACCUGGUCUUGUAUUCAGUUGGUUUCAGUUAAAUUUGUCACUUCUCAGUUCAUUUUUGGUAGCAGAAACUAGCUGGGCAGUGUAUGUAUAUUAUAAACCUGUAAACCAUUCCCUUUGAGUUUAUGUAAACAAAAAUGAACUGUUAUAAUAGCUGGGCAGUGUUUUCUGUAAACUGUAAUGGUACUCUUUGUUUUUCCUAAUUUAUGUUCUACUUUUAAGGAUUUCCUUGUCAAGUGCACAUACAGCUUAUGAUAUCCUUCUUGUAAACUGCCCACUAAACUAUGGAGUGGAUUCACUUUAUUGCAGUUUAUUCAUUUGUGCAAGUCAUUCACAUUAUUGCAGUUUCAGUUUCUAUAAAUUUACUUUAUAAUGAAGUUAGAAUGCAGUUUCAGUUUCAGUCAUUCACAUUAUUGCAGUUUCAUUCACAUUAUAAUGCAGUUUCAGCUUCUUUGUAAUCUGUCAUUCACAUUAUUUGUUCUUCUUCUGUUAUUCAGGUCAUGGAACAUAAAGGUAUGGUGAAUUAAGCAAAUUUCUCUCCAAUGAAGCUGCUGCGGUAAUGAAGCUGCUGCCACAGUCUUAUAGAAGCAGGCAUUACUAUAUGGGAAGCUGCUGUUUUGUGUUCCUUGGUUUUCCAUCUUAAUUUGCAUUUAUGUUUUCGUGAGAUUGUCCUGUUUAGUAUACUUCUAGAUCCUAGGAGCUAAAUAUAUAUAGAGAGAGAGUAAGUGGCAAAAUUCCAAUUGAGUAAGUGGCAAAAUUCUGCACAAUCUUGUAUUUGGCUUAUGUAUUGAGUAAGUGGCAAAAUUCCAGGCAAAUAAGAAGACAAAAGAUUGCAAUGUUGUUUUUGCUGAUUCCAGGCUUAUGGAUUAUGUUGUUUUUUGGAUUAUGUUGUUUUUAAGGCUUAUGGAUUAUGUUGUUUUUAAAAUAAGAAGGCAAAAUUCCAGGCUUAUUCAUUCCGGUUGGAAUGUUGUCCUGUUUGUUUUUUGUGUCUGUUGGCUCUCUUUUGGCUUGAUUCGGAGAAAUAGUAUUUGGAGAGAAGGGAGAGAGAAUCGCGUAUUUGGGAAAG
This 1741-nucleotide long non-coding RNA is filed under the name Panax ginseng (ginseng). Its description in RNAcentral is "long non-coding RNA (PGIN_LNC011294)". The record is from RNAcentral. Lineage: Eukaryota; Viridiplantae; Streptophyta; Magnoliopsida; Apiales; Araliaceae.